This 414-nucleotide long non-coding RNA is filed under the name Carica papaya (papaya). Its description in RNAcentral is "long non-coding RNA (CPAP_LNC007742)". The record is from RNAcentral. Lineage: Eukaryota; Viridiplantae; Streptophyta; Magnoliopsida; Brassicales; Caricaceae.
AACCAGGACCUGCCACGUGGCAAAACCACGUCGACCGGGGACUGGCCACGUUGGCGAUCCGAGUGCGCGCGAUCGGACGGUCCAGAUCAAUCGCGCGCACGGACGGCCCAGAAUUAAUCGCACGGACGGCCCAGAUUUAAUCAAAAACGGACGGCUCAGAUUAAAUCAAAAUGGACGGCUGAGAUCAAAAGGCAAAAGGGUAUAAAUAAGACCCCCACACCAGACCCCAAACCCUAGCCGCCUGCCCUCGCCGGAGAAGACGAACCAGAAGCCGGCCGCAGCCACCCGCCGCCGCACCGGAGGAAUUUCCGACCGCCGAUCGAGGUAAAUUUCAUAUCCCAGAUUCGUUUUUCCACGCUGAUUUCCCCAGUGGCCAAAUCAGAGCCAAAAUCCUGGCCAAACAGCCGAAAAACA